RNAcentral lists this ribosomal RNA (466 nucleotides) under uncultured bacterium. RNAcentral's name for it is "SSU rRNA". It matches the Rfam family "Bacterial small subunit ribosomal RNA", at positions 26 to 518 of the family's 1533-position model. The record is from RNAcentral.
AGGACUAACGCUGGCGGCGUGCCUAACACAUGCAAGUCGAACGAGAGUAGCAAUACUCUAGUGGCAGACGGGUGAGUAACACGUGGUCAACCUACCUUUAAGUGGGGGAUAACUAGCCGAAAGGUUAGCUAAUACCGCAUACGAUCUUCGCGUGGCAUCACAUGAAGAUGAAAGGAGCAAUCCGCUGAAAGACGGGACCGCGUCCCAUUAGCCAGUUGGUGGGGUAACGGCCUACCAAAGCAACGAUGGGUAGCUGGCUUGAGAGAGCGACCAGCCACACUGGGACUGAGACACGGCCCAGACUCCUACGGGAGGCAGCAGUGAGGAAUUUUCCGCAAUGGGCGAAAGCCUGACGGAGCGACGCCGCGUGUGGGAUGAAGGCCUUCGGGUCGUAAACCACUGUCGAAGGGGAAGAUAUUGACGGUACCCUUGGAGGAAGCCCGGCUAACUACGUGCCAGCAGCCGC